GCACUGGCAGUGUAGUGGUAGCAUUCUCACCUUCCAUGCAGGAGGCCUGGGUUUGAUUCCCUGCCAGUGCG
Molecule: transfer RNA, 71 nt
Filed under: Loxodonta africana (African savanna elephant)
Lineage: Eukaryota; Metazoa; Chordata; Mammalia; Proboscidea; Elephantidae
Rfam family: tRNA
About the family: Transfer RNA (tRNA) molecules are approximately 80 nucleotides in length. Their secondary structure includes four short double-helical elements and three loops (D, anti-codon, and T loops). Further hydrogen bonds mediate the characteristic L-shaped molecular structure. tRNAs have two regions of fundamental functional importance: the anti-codon, which is responsible for specific mRNA codon recognition, and the 3' end, to which the tRNAs corresponding amino acid is attached (by aminoacyl-tRNA synthetases). tRNAs cope with the degeneracy of the genetic code in two manners: having more than one tRNA (with a specific anti-codon) for a particular amino acid; and 'wobble' base-pairing, i.e. permitting non-standard base-pairing at the 3rd anti-codon position.
Source: Rfam by way of RNAcentral